This is a non-coding RNA of Macaca mulatta (Rhesus monkey), 388 nucleotides long. The record is from RefSeq and is a predicted model, not a curated record. NCBI's taxonomy places the organism in Eukaryota, Metazoa, Chordata, Mammalia, Primates, Cercopithecidae.
UUGGGGUUCGGGCUCGCGCCGCUCGUGCUCGAGUCUCCGAAGCCGAAGAACGCUGGUUCCUUAUACAAGCUCGCCUGCGCGCUCACGCGCGCGCCGCGCCUCCUGGCACGCCAGCAGCCAAGCGCGUGCAAAGAGCUGUCGCAGCAGUAGCAGCAGCAGCAGCAGCAGCAGCAACGACCCACACCUCCGCUUCGGUCCGAUGCUCUGCCACACAAGAUCCCCCCAGCUGGCUUGAAAGCAAUGAAGUCAUCGCCCAACCAGUAGAAAUGUAAAGAUCUUAAUACCCACCAUGGAUCGGGUUUCCACGGAGGAUGAAGAAGUGAUGAAAUGGAAGGAGAUAACAUCUCCAAUGCUACUUUUAGAAAAUAAAGAAAAUAAUUUUUAAAAA